Molecule: ribosomal RNA, 794 nt
Filed under: uncultured bacterium
Lineage: Bacteria
Description: bacterial SSU rRNA
Rfam family: Bacterial small subunit ribosomal RNA
Source: RNAcentral
AGAGUUUGAUCAUGGCUCAGGAUGAACCUAGCGGCAGGCUUAAUACAUGCAAGUCGUGGGGCAGCGNNNNGUAGCAAUACAUGGGCGGCGACCGGCAAACGGGUGCGGAACACGUACACAACCUUCCUUUAAGUGGGGAAUAGCCUAAGGAAACUUGGAUUAAUACCCCGUAACAUUAUGAAGUGGCAUCACUUUAUAAUUAUAGCUCCGGCGCUUAAUGAUGGGUGUGCGGCUGAUUAGAUAGUUGGCGGGGUAACGGCCCACCAAGUCUGCGAUCAGUAACUGGUGUGAGAGCACGACCAGUCACACGGGCACUGAGACACGGGCCCGACUCCUACGGGAGGCAGCAGUAAGGAAUAUUGGUCAAUGGACGCAAGUCUGAACCAGCCAUGCCGCGUGGAGGAUGAAGGUCCUCUGGAUUGUAAACUUCUUCUAUCUGGGACGAAAAAGGGUCUUUCUAGAUCAACUGACGGUACCAGAUGAAUAAGCACCGGCUAACUCCGUGCCAGCAGCCGCGGUAAUACGGAGGGUGCAAGCGUUAUCCGGAUUCACUGGGUUUAGAGGGUGCGUAGGUGGGCAGGUAAGUCAGUGGUGAAAUCUCCGGGCUUAACCCGGAAACUGCCAUUGAUACUAUUUGUCUUGAAUAUCGUGGAGGUCAGCGGAAUAUGUCAUGUAGCGGUGAAAUGCUUAGAUAUGACAUAGAACACCAAUUGCGAAGGCGGCUGGCUACACGAAUAUUGACACUGAUGCACGAAAGCGUGGGGAUCAAACAGGAUUAGAUACCCUAGUAGUCC